Xiphophorus maculatus (southern platyfish) is the source of this 697-nucleotide long non-coding RNA. RefSeq lists it as uncharacterized. The transcript has 3 exons. The record is from RefSeq and is a predicted model, not a curated record. Lineage: Eukaryota; Metazoa; Chordata; Actinopteri; Cyprinodontiformes; Poeciliidae.
UUUUUUGCUAACCGCCAAUAAAACUUGAAAAGAAGAAAAAGCCGCUGCAUUCACUAGACACACUGUGGAUAACUUCACUGUGUUUCGUGGGAAUAACAGAUUAAGCCUAAGAGGCGAAGAUAUGACUACUGAGAACAUUGCAGUCAUAUUUCAGGAUUCAGGUUGGAGUGAGGGAUCUUUCCAGAGACGAGCUACGCGGAGGAGUUUGACAGCCUGACGCACCUGCAUUGGAUUCCGGUAACCAGCGGCUGGCUUCUUAAGAAGCGGUGGAACCACCAGUCAUCGCUCGAUGGUUACCACUUGUUGAUCUUGAUCCCGCUUCCCGGAGCCAAGCCUGGAACUCCACCGGUCAGGCGCGUCUCGUUGGUUGGCACCUCCAAACAGUUCUGAUCCGCUGCGGCCCGGGACCCCCGAACCUACCUGGACUCUCGUUCCCUCCUGACGUCCCCCAGUCUCAAUUCUACCUCAUUAAAACAAACCCUCGUAACCGUAAAAAUCUGUUCUUCUGUGCGCACCUGCAUGUGGGCAAGGAAAUUAAAAUCCAACAUGACAACAUCGACUUAAAGUUAAUUUUGUUUGCUUAAGAUUAAUUCUUUGUAUUUUCCUAUGUUGUACUUACCUGCCUUGGAGUUGCCAGACAAAAGAAUGCAUGAACAACCGCUGCGAUGCGCAUCUCUGGAAUCUACCUGGAAUCUAC